CCUACGGGAGGCAGCAGUGGGGAAUCUUGCGCAAUGGGCGAAAGCCUGACGCAGCCAUGCCGCGUGAAUGAUGAAGGUCUUAGGAUUGUAAAAUUCUUUCACCGGGGACGAUAAUGACGGUACCCGGAGAAGAAGCCCCGGCUAACUUCGUGCCAGCAGCCGCGGUAAUACGAAGGGGGCUAGCGUUGCUCGGAAUUACUGGGCGUAAAGGGAGCGUAGGCGGACAUUUAAGUCAGGGGUGAAAUCCCAGAGCUCAACUCUGGAACUGCCUUUGAUACUGGGUGUCUUGAGUGUGAUAGAGGUAUGUGGAACUCCGAGUGUAGAGGUGAAAUUCGUAGAUAUUCGGAAGAACACCAGUGGCGAAGGCGACAUACUGGAUCAUUACUGACGCUGAGGCUCGAAAGCGUGGGGAGCAAACAGGAUUAGAUACCCUGGUAGUCCACGCCGUAAACGAUGAUUGCUAGUUGUUGGGAUGUUUACAUCUCGGUGACACAGCUAACGCAUUAAGCAAUCCGCCUGGGGAUACGGUCGCAAGAUUAAAACUCAAAUGAAUUGACGG
Molecule: ribosomal RNA, 559 nt
Filed under: uncultured bacterium
Lineage: Bacteria
Description: bacterial SSU rRNA
Rfam family: Bacterial small subunit ribosomal RNA
Source: RNAcentral